Molecule: long non-coding RNA, 309 nt
Filed under: Meriones unguiculatus (Mongolian gerbil)
Lineage: Eukaryota; Metazoa; Chordata; Mammalia; Rodentia; Muridae
Description: lncRNA (ENSMUGG00000022187.1)
Source: RNAcentral
GAGUGGUUUAUUUUUUAACCAAACAAUUGGAAAUAAUUGGCAGAAGGAGUUGAUUGGAAUGGAGAAAGAUCACCCACCAUCAACCUCACAGUUACAAUGCUGUGCCAGCACCCCUUGCAACAGCCUCAGUGUCCCUCAGGGGUUUUGCGGAACCUGGUUCAUCUUACCACUGACCUCUGUGUUCACAAGGACCAAAGGACUCCAAGUUGACCACACUGAUAAUGACAGAGGAAGAAAGAGGUGGAGCAAGCGUGCUUGCGCUAUGGCUAUCAGUGUCAAUGAAUUUGACUUGUGUUCAGUGACUAAUUG